GCAGUGGUGGUUCAGUAGUAGAAUUCUUGCCUUCCAUUUGGGAGACCCAGGUUCCAUUCCUGGCCAAGGUA
RNAcentral lists this transfer RNA (71 nucleotides) under Loxodonta africana (African savanna elephant). It matches the Rfam family "tRNA". Rfam says of the family: Transfer RNA (tRNA) molecules are approximately 80 nucleotides in length. The record is from Rfam by way of RNAcentral. Lineage: Eukaryota; Metazoa; Chordata; Mammalia; Proboscidea; Elephantidae.